RNAcentral lists this ribosomal RNA (468 nucleotides) under uncultured bacterium. RNAcentral describes it as "partial 16S ribosomal RNA". It matches the Rfam family "Bacterial small subunit ribosomal RNA", at positions 28 to 507 of the family's 1533-position model. The record is from RNAcentral.
GACGAACGCUGGCGGCGUGCUUAACACAUGCAAGUCGAACGGAAAGGCCCUGCUUUUGUGGGGUGCUCGAGUGGCGAACGGGUGAGUAACACGUGAGUAACCUGCCCUUGACUUUGGGAUAACUUCAGGAAACUGGGGCUAAUACCGGAUAGGAGCUCCUGCUGCAUGGUGGGGGUUGGAAAGUUUCGGCGGUUGGGGAUGCACUCGCGGCUUAUCAGCUUGUUGGUGGGGUAGUGGCUUACCAAGGCUUUGACGGGUAGCCGGCCUGAGAUGGUGACCGGCCACAUUGGGACUGAGAUACGGCCCAGACUCCUACGGGAGGCAGCAGUGGGGAAUAUUGCACAAUGGGCGGAAGCCUGAUGCAGCAACGCCGCGUGCGGGAUGACGGCCUUCGGGUUGUAAACCGCUUUCGCCUGUGACGAAGCGUGAGUGACGGUAAUGGGUAAAGAAGCACCGGCUAACUACGUG